This is a long non-coding RNA of Rosa rugosa (rugosa rose), 621 nucleotides long. RefSeq lists it as uncharacterized. The transcript is spliced from 3 exons. The record is from RefSeq and is a predicted model, not a curated record. Lineage: Eukaryota; Viridiplantae; Streptophyta; Magnoliopsida; Rosales; Rosaceae.
CCGUCCGAGAAUUUUGAGCCCAAAAAAAAAAUUAGAUGUAUACAUCUUUUUUUAGUUAGGUAUUGUCCAGCACUCCAGCCCAAGCCCGUCCAGUUCACUCGACUAGUCGACUUCGAGUCUUCGACUACGCUCCAGCCUCCAGUUCGUCUAAGUGAGAUCUCUCCUCGGCUCCUCGCCUCCUCCUGUCCUCCAGUCCUCCUCCUCCUCCAGCUCUGGGCUCUGGCUUUCUCGGCUAGUCGGCUUCUCCAGUCCAGCCUCCAGUUCGUCACUUCGUCUAAUCGUCUCUCAGACUCUCACUUUCUCCUAGUCCUCGGCUGAGUCGGCUCCUCCUGUGCUCCAGUCCUCCUCCUCCUCUAAACUUCUACAGCUCUGGGCUCUGGCAUCAAGUCCAUCAACAUCAAUUUGGGGCAAUGAUUCAAUGUUGUAUUGGAUUGAAGAUUUCGUGGAUUGAAGAAUGAAGAAUGAAGGUUGCGGACUUGCGGUCAAAUUCUCUUGGUUUGGAAAUCUGCUCUGUCUCUGGAAGAUUUGGUGCAGGAGAAUAUCAUGAAGGAAUUUAGCAACUGGAUCAUAGGUUUUAAGUGAAUGGCAAAAUCUUGAGUCUACUGCAAUACUGAGGUGUUU